Mya arenaria is the source of this 92-nucleotide small nucleolar RNA. RefSeq annotates it as small nucleolar SNORD12/SNORD106. The transcript has a single exon. The record is from RefSeq and is a predicted model, not a curated record. Lineage: Eukaryota; Metazoa; Mollusca; Bivalvia; Myida; Myidae.
AAGCUUGCAAUGAUGACAUUAUCUUUCCCCGUCCUAUCGACAUAUGACGAUGUGAAAUGUGUUUUUAAGCCAAUAUUGUCUGAUGCAAGCAU